UGGGGAAUAUUGGACAAUGGGCGCAAGCCUGAUCCAGCCAUGCCGCGUGUGUGAAGAAGGCCUUUUGGUUGUAAAGCACUUUAAGCGAGGAGGAGGCUACUUGGAUUAAUACUCUAAGAUAGUGGACGUUACUCGCAGAAUAAGCACCGGCUAACUCUGUGUCAGCAGCCGCGGUAAUACAGAGGGUGCGAGCGUUAAUCGGAUUUACUGGGCGUAAAGCGUGCGUAGGCGGCUUCUUAAGUCGGAUGUGAAAUCCCUGAGCUUAACUUAGGAAUUGCAUUCGAUACUGGGAAGCUAGAGUAUGGGAGAGGAUGGUAGAAUUCCAGGUGUAGCGGUGAAAUGCGUAGAGAUCUGGAGGAAUACCGAUGGCGAAGGCAGCCAUCUGGCCUAAUACUGACGCUGAGGUACGAAAGCAUGGGGAGCAAACAGG
Molecule: ribosomal RNA, 430 nt
Filed under: Bacillota bacterium
Lineage: Bacteria; Bacillati; Bacillota
Also listed under: 1 other name
Description: Firmicutes bacterium partial 16S ribosomal RNA
Rfam family: Bacterial small subunit ribosomal RNA
Source: RNAcentral